ACUAAAAAACUAGCUUAAACAACACAACAACCCUCCCAAUAUAAACCAGUUUCAAAAGAACAAAAACCACAAAUUAAAUCAUUUGACCUCCCCAGUAAAGGCGACUAAAAAGGAAAAUUGAAGCUAUAGACACAGUACCGCAAGGGAAAGCUGAAAGAGAAAUGAAAAAAAUCACUCAAGUAAAUAAAAGCAGAGAUUUCACCUCGUACCUUUUGCAUCAUGAUCUAGCCAGUCUACCCAAGCAUAGAGAACUCUAGUUUGACACCCCGAAACCUGCACGAGCUACUCCGAGACAGCCUUUAGGGCCAACCCGUCUCUGUGGCAAAAGAGUGGGAAGAGCUCUGAGUAGAGGUGAAAGACCUAUCGAGUCAGGUAAUAGCUGGUUGCCCGAGAAAUGAAUAGAAGUUCAGCUCCGCCACACCCCCAAUCCAAAAGUCCAACUUACAAAGACCACAGGCUAAUGACGGAAGUUAGUUAGGGAAGGUACAGCUUCCCUAACAAAGGACACAACCUUACCAGAAAGCUAAGGGAUAUAUCCAACUAAAGGCUACAGGCUUCAGUGGGCCUGAAAGCAGCCAUCUGAAUAGAAAGCGUUAAAGCUCAAACCCUUACUAGCCUAUCAUUACAUUAACCUUCCCCCACGCUCCUAAAAAUAUCGAGCCCUUUUAUGUACCCAUAAAAUAUACCAUGCUAGAACGAGUAAUAAGAAGAAUGACCUUCUCCAAGCACAAGCGUAAGUCGGAUCGGACCCUCCCCCGACAAUUAACGAAUCCAAAAACAGAGGAACCUGCACCCAGCCCCCAAAGCAAGAAAAGCACGCAUCUUCACCCCGUUACCCUUACACAAGAGUGCACACCAAAGGAAAGACUUAAAGGAAGAAAAGGAACUCGGCAAACCUAAACCUCGCCUGUUUACCAAAAACAUCGCCUCCUGCCCACCCCCGUAUAGGAGGUCCUGCCUGCCCCGUGACUAAAGUUUAACGGCCGCGGUAUUUUAACCGUGCGAAGGUAGCGCAAUCAAUUGUCUUUUAAAUGAAGACCUGUAUGAAUGGCAAAACGAGGGUUUAACUGUCUCUUUAUCCCAGUCAAUGAAACUGAUCUGCUCGUGCAGAAGCGAGCAUACCCACGUAAGACGAGAAGACCCUAUGGAGCUUUAGAUGUUAACCAACUCUUAAACACACACACAACAAAUGUACCAAAGAAACAGAACUCUGGCACAAACAUCUUCGGUUGGGGCGACCACGGGAAUACAAUAAAACUCCCGAGUGGACAGGGACAAACCCCUGAAACCAAGAACUACCGUUCUAAGGCACAAAAAUUUUGACCAACAAUGAUCCGGCCAAGGCCGAUCAACGGACCAAGUUACCCUAGGGAUAACAGCGCAAUCCUCUCCCAGAGUCCAUAUCGACGAGAGGGCUUACAACCUCGAUGUUGGAUCAGGACAUCCUGAUGGCGCAGCCGCUAUCAAGGGUUCGUUUGUUCAACGAUUAAAGUCCUACGUGAUCUGAGUUCAGACCGGAGUAAUCCAGGUCAGUUUCUAUCUACGGAGCCUUCCUUCCUAGUACGAAAGGACCGGAACGAAGAGGCCAAUACUUCAAGCACGCCUCACCCCCACCUAAUGAAAACAACUAAAUUAGCCAAAGGGGGGCCCACCCCGGCCCAAGACAAGGGCCAU
RNAcentral lists this ribosomal RNA (1674 nucleotides) under Sundasalanx mekongensis. RNAcentral describes it as "16S rRNA". The stretch from base 95 to 1594 matches the Rfam family "Bacterial large subunit ribosomal RNA". The record is from RNAcentral. Lineage: Eukaryota; Metazoa; Chordata; Actinopteri; Clupeiformes; Clupeidae.